This 120-nucleotide ribosomal RNA is filed under the name uncultured bacterium. Its description in RNAcentral is "partial 16S ribosomal RNA". It matches the Rfam family "Bacterial small subunit ribosomal RNA", at positions 215 to 334 of the family's 1533-position model. The record is from RNAcentral.
CCGCUGGCAGAGGGGUCCGCGCCUGAUUAGCUAGUUGGUGAGGUAACGGCUCACCAAGGCUGCGAUCAGUAGCCGUCCUGAGAGGGAGCACGGCCACACUGGAACUGAGACACGGUCCAG